GACAUUAUCUAUCUAUUAGUCUUGACCAAAUUACGUGCCAGCAGUCGCGGUAAUACGUAGAAGACAAGUGUUAUUCAUCUUUAUUAGGUUUAAAGAGUACCAAGACGGUUAAUAAAGCCCAAAAAAAAUGAAUACGGGGGACACAUUGACUAGAGUUAUAUGAAAGGAAGCUCUAAGGUACUGUUGAGUGUAGAGAUGAAAUUCUAUAAUACCAGAUAAUUGGCACAGAUUUAUGCGAAGGCAUCUUCUUAUGUAAUAACUGACGUUGUAGGACGAAGGCUUAGAAAGUUAAAAGGAUUAGGUACCCCAGUAAUCUAGGCAGAAAAUGAUGAAUGUCAUAGGUUGAAUACAGACAGGUUAAAUUGACUAUCUAAUAGUAAAUUGGUGGUAUAUUAAUCAGUCUAUUAUUCUGUCUAUAAAUGAAAGUGUAAGCAUUCCACCUCAAGAGUAAUUUGGCAACAUUGGAACUGAAAUCAUUAGACCGUUUCUGAAACCAGUAGUGAAGUAUGUUGUUUAAUUAGAUGAUACACAAAAACCUUACCACAAUUUGAAUAUAUAUAAUAUAUAUUUAUUUCAAUAUAUAUAAAAUAUAUUUACMAGCGCUGCACGGCUGUCUACAGUUAAUGUCGUGAGAC
Molecule: ribosomal RNA, 635 nt
Filed under: Sticta dichotoma
Lineage: Eukaryota; Fungi; Ascomycota; Lecanoromycetes; Peltigerales; Lobariaceae
Description: mitochondrial SSU rRNA
Rfam family: Bacterial small subunit ribosomal RNA
Source: RNAcentral